This 254-nucleotide unclassified non-coding RNA is filed under the name uncultured Acidimicrobiia bacterium. RNAcentral's name for it is "contains 16S-23S intergenic spacer region". It matches the Rfam family "Bacterial small subunit ribosomal RNA", at positions 524 to 776 of the family's 1533-position model. Lineage: Bacteria; Bacillati; Actinomycetota; Acidimicrobiia. The record is from RNAcentral.
UACGUAGGGUGCAAGCGUUGUCCGGAUUUAUUGGGCGUAAAGAGCUCGUAGGCGGCUUGGCAAGUCGGGUGUGAAAACUCCAGGCUCAACCUGGAGAUGCCACUCGAUACUGCCAUGGCUUGAGUCUGGUAGGGGAGCACGGAAUUCCUGGUGUAGCGGUGAAAUGCGCAGAUAUCAGGAGGAACACCGGUGGCGAAGGCGGUGCUCUGGGCCAGUACUGACGCUGAGGAGCGAAAGCGUGGGGAGCAAACAGG